UAGGUUGGUUGAUAUAUCCUUUUCUUGUCUCUGAAACCAAGCCUAGAUAGAUGAGAUCUUUGUAGUUGACAUUAAUUGCUUUACUGUUUUACACUGUUCUUUUCAUGGUAGUUGCCAUACUAGAAUAUUCACUAUUCUAGACUUUCCUAGCUUACAUUCAUGUUGGUCCUCAUCAGUCAUCACCUUUUGUUUUUUCUUUUUUCCUCCUUGCAAUAAUUAUAUCUUUGUGGAAUAAGCUAUUAUAACGUUUCAGAAGCACUUUUCUGGUUACCUGGCUUUUGAGAAUUAUGAAGGGGGUUGGCAUGUUUAAUAAUAAUAACUGCAUUCCUGUUCCAAGCGGAAGCUGAAAUGGAAUAUUUUGUUUUGCUAGUGAAGAUACUCUUUCUUUUCAAAAGUUGUGCAAUGAUUCAAUACUGUUUGUGAAUUUGUCAAUUUGGUAGUGUUUUCUCUGUUUUAGGGGACAUAAUGCCCCUUCUAGU
Molecule: non-coding RNA, 479 nt
Organism: Arachis ipaensis
Lineage: Eukaryota; Viridiplantae; Streptophyta; Magnoliopsida; Fabales; Fabaceae
Source: RefSeq, a predicted model, not a curated record